UUCUUUAAAUGGGGACUUGUAUCAACGGCAUCACGAGGGUUACACUGUCUCCUUUUUCUAAUCAGUGAAACUAAUCUCCCCGUGAAGAAGCGGGGAUACUAAUAUAAGACGAGAAGACCCCAUGGAGCUUCAAACCCAACUACACCCCCAACCCCUAUAACUACUAAAUCCUUGAGGCCCUGUAUCGUUGGUUUUAGGUUGGGGCGACCACGGAGUACAACAAAACCUCCACAAUGAACGGAAUUAAUUCCUAAUCUAAGAACUACAUCUCUAAGAAUUAAAAUACUAACAUAAAAUGAUCCAUUUUUUGAUUAAUGAACCAAGUUACCCUGGGGAUAACAGCGCAAUCCAUUUCAAGAGCCCCUAUCGACAAAUGGGUUUACGACCUCGAUGUUGGAUCAGGGUAUCCUAGUGGUGCAGCAGCUACUAACGGUUCGUUUGUUCAACGAUUAAAACCCU
RNAcentral lists this ribosomal RNA (459 nucleotides) under Mantidactylus betsileanus. RNAcentral's name for it is "partial 16S ribosomal RNA". It matches the Rfam family "Bacterial large subunit ribosomal RNA", at positions 1972 to 2597 of the family's 2925-position model. Lineage: Eukaryota; Metazoa; Chordata; Amphibia; Anura; Mantellidae. The record is from RNAcentral.